GUGGUAGGUCUUUGCAAUGGGGGAAGUGUUCAGUCCACCUGCCAAGACUGCGCCUCACAGCCGAAGGAAAAUGCCACAACAUUUUUCAACAGACUGGAGUCUUUUGUUCAAAAGGCCAUAGCAAGACUGAACAUGAUCCAAAAAUAAAGGGAAGAUCUUCUUGUGACCAAGGAUUAAAUGUAGAGAAGACACUACACUG
This is a long non-coding RNA of Etheostoma cragini (Arkansas darter), 199 nucleotides long. RefSeq lists it as uncharacterized. The record is from RefSeq and is a predicted model, not a curated record. Lineage: Eukaryota; Metazoa; Chordata; Actinopteri; Perciformes; Percidae. The transcript has 3 exons.